Molecule: long non-coding RNA, 575 nt
Organism: Syzygium oleosum
Lineage: Eukaryota; Viridiplantae; Streptophyta; Magnoliopsida; Myrtales; Myrtaceae
Exons: 2
Source: RefSeq, a predicted model, not a curated record
UUCAAAGUUCAAACUCGGCUGCACAGAGAAAAAAUUGUUUAAGUUACGUCCCAUUGUCAACACAUGUUACUCUAUAAAUUCUGUAAAACUCCUCUCAUCUACUAUACUACAGCAGAGACCACAAAAUAAGCUAGAAAGAUGGGGAGUUCAAAACCAGUCUCUGUCCUCUUCUUGAGUCUCAUCUUCUUCGCCGUGGCUCUAUCGCCACUGCAGCCUUGCGAGGCCAUUCGAAUAACCGAGCGAGGUUUAGCAAGUGAGACGUCACCAAUAUGCCCUGCUUGUGUGUGCUGCGCACCUCCACCUCCGGGAUCAUGUUGUGCCUGCUGCGCUACUCCUGUUCCUACCGCCGGGUCUCCAUGAGAGAGAUCAACUGUUUACUUCAGACAGUUGCUAAUAAAUAGUAUGAAUAAAGAAGCUGCUCGGAAAUCGGAAUAAGGAUGUUACUAAUGUUGAUUCAACACGUUGUCUUGUGUUGCUUGGAAAUUGGAAUAAGUGUAAGCAUGAUCACUAAUCUCUUGUUGUUGAACCAGGGACAUGUCCUUAUAAAGUUGAAAAAAUUCAUGUUCCAUCAUCAA